GACGAACGCUGGCGGCGUGCCUAAUACAUGCAAGUUGAGCGAUGAAGAUUGGUGCUUGCACCAAUUUGAAGAGCAGCGAGCGGGUGAGUAACGCGUGGGGAAUCUGCCUUUGAGCGGGGGACAACAUUUGGAAACGAAUGCUAAUACCGCAUAACAACUUUAAACAUAAGUUUUAAGUUUGAAAGAUGCAAUUGCAUCACUCAAAGAUGAUCCCGCGUUGUAUUAGCUAGUUGGUGAGGUAAAGGCUCACCAAGGCGAUGAUACAUAGCCGACCUGAGAGGGUGGUCGGCCACAUUGGGACUGAGACACGGCCCAAACUCCUACGGGAGGCAGCAGUAGGGAAUCUUCAGCAAGGGACGAAAGUCUGACCGAGCAACGCCGCGGGAGUGAAGAAGGUUGUCGGAUCGUAAAACUCUGUUGGUAGAGAAGAACGUUGGUGAGAGUGGAAAGCUCAUCAAGUGACGGUAACUACCCAGAAAGGGACGGCUAACUACGUG
Molecule: ribosomal RNA, 497 nt
Filed under: uncultured bacterium
Lineage: Bacteria
Description: partial 16S ribosomal RNA
Rfam family: Bacterial small subunit ribosomal RNA
Source: RNAcentral